UACGUAGGGAGCAAGCGUUGUCCGGAAUCAUUGGGCGUAAAGCGCGCGUAGGCGGCCUCAUAAGUCCGUUGUGAAAGUCAAAGGCUCAACCUUUGAAAGCCGAUGGAUACUGUGAGGCUAGAGUCCGGAAGAGGCGAGUGGAAUUCCUGGUGUAGCGGUGGAAUGCGCAGAUAUCAGGAGGAACACCAAUAGCGAAGGCAGCUCGCUGGGGCGGUACUGACGCUAAGGCGCGAAAGCGUGGGGAGCGAACAGG
Molecule: ribosomal RNA, 253 nt
Filed under: uncultured bacterium
Lineage: Bacteria
Description: partial 16S ribosomal RNA
Rfam family: Bacterial small subunit ribosomal RNA
Source: RNAcentral